UACGUAGGGUGCAAGCGUUAAUCGGAAUUACUGGGCGUAAAGCGUGCGCAGGCGGUUAUAUAAGACAGUUGUGAAAUCCCCGGGCUCAACCUGGGAAUUGCAUUGGAGACUGCAAGGCUAGAAUCUGGCAGAGGGGGGUAGAAUUCCGCGUGUAGCAGUGAAAUGCGUAGAUAUGCGGAGGAACACCGAUGGCGAAGGCAAUCCCCUGGACCUGUACUGACGCUCAUGCACGAAAGCGAGGGGAGCAAACAGG
RNAcentral lists this ribosomal RNA (253 nucleotides) under uncultured bacterium. RNAcentral's name for it is "partial 16S ribosomal RNA". It matches the Rfam family "Bacterial small subunit ribosomal RNA", at positions 524 to 776 of the family's 1533-position model. The record is from RNAcentral.